GUAAGCAUGAGAUGGGAAGAGUAUCCCAGACAAGAAGCCAUCAUAAAGCAAGAACUAGCAUGGCGCAUUGGAAGAUCAGAAAUUGACCCUGCAUCUUAACGGAACUUUACAAUCAGAGUUAUGUUUACUUCAUCCUUCAAGUGUUCUUCACAAUUCUUCCGUUAUUUAAUUUCUUAAAAAUAGGACUUGCAAGUUAAAGAAAAUCAUGCCAUCUUUCCACUCAGAUAGGAAAGGAGGUGGUAGAUAAGUAAUGUUAAAUGAUACAUGUCAGGUAUCCCUCUCAGCACUUAUAGAUACUAUGGGUACAUGCCCUAGCUCUUCUUUUGUGAGCAAACCAUUUGUACCCACUUAAAUAUAGGUUUGCUAUUUUGUUGUGGAUUACUUCAAAUAUCUAAUGAAAAUCAUCUGACUUGGAGGCCAAAACAAAGCUGAUCUGAGAGCGUGUGUUGGAGCAGAAUAAUAAUGUACUGUUCAGAAUUCAGUCAAAGCUUCCUCAUGUCCUUCUGCACAUCACAUGCAGGAUACAGGAACUGGGAGACAGCUGACUAAGCAUGAAAAGAUCACUUUUAGAGUCUCCAUUACCGCCUCUCCCUCCAGCCCCAAGCACUGUAGAAGCACAGACGAGAGAGGAGAGUUAUGGAUUGAGAGACUGACCUUUUAGUGGACUGAAUUAUCCACUCAUUUUCAAUUAAGUUUCCAUAUGGCAAAUUGAAGCUGACCCUGUUACAAUGAUAAAACUACACAGAAGGAAAGAGGCCAUAAAUAUUGUGAGAGAAAUUGUAUUUUGGGGCAUUAUGUACUUAGAUUUUUCCAACCGAAGGAAAGAAAAAACAAGGAAACAUAGAGUUGUUAGAAUAUGUUGGGUAAAAUAGGCAAUCAAUUAAUUACCUAAAUAACUACAAACCCCUCUCCUACUAUAGGUCUUAUUUGUUCCAGUAUCCUCC
RNAcentral lists this long non-coding RNA (944 nucleotides) under Papio anubis (olive baboon). RNAcentral's name for it is "lncRNA (ENSPANG00000039011.1)". Lineage: Eukaryota; Metazoa; Chordata; Mammalia; Primates; Cercopithecidae. The record is from RNAcentral.